Molecule: long non-coding RNA, 2091 nt
Filed under: Marmota monax (woodchuck)
Lineage: Eukaryota; Metazoa; Chordata; Mammalia; Rodentia; Sciuridae
Source: RNAcentral
UGGGACCACACAUGACAAGGCAAGGGGAUCUGCCAGCAGGAGGUUUGGGGUUUAGUGGGGAACAUAGAGAGGGAAAGUGAUCGUAUAAGUAAUGCGACCCAGGGUGGGAUUCAGGCUGGAAUCAAAUGUAAGAGAGCAACUGUGAAGAGUGGCCAGGACUGGAGGCAGCACUUCUCUGAAGGGAUAACCCGAGACAUUCAUUCAAGUGAGCUGGAGAAGUGAACCAGACACGGCUAGGAGAGCGCCCUCCAGGCUGAGGCCAAGAGGAGGGACUCAGGGCAGGAGCAGGCCCCGCACACCCGCAGCCUGGAGAAGGGCGGCGCCCAGAGGGACAGCCUGGGAGGAAGCAGUGGGGCCGCUUCCUCAGAAGGGAAGCCACCGAAAGGCUUGAGGGUGGCCUGCUCCAAAGAGGAUCUGAAAGCCCACCCUGCUCUGUAGAGAGCGCUGAGGAGGGUGGCACCAAGGGAAGCCAUCUGGAGACCACUGGGGACAUGGCCACCACCCAGCAAGAGAGGCCACGAUGGCGUGGGUCAGCGCCAGCAGUGAAGUUGAGCAGGGUGGUCAGAUUUGGAAUCUCGGAGCGUAGCCUCGCACAACCUACCAAUGGAGUCACCAGAGUUUGACUCUCUUCUGUGACUGUCACUUUUCUAGGAUAAUGGACUUCCAGAGAGGAGUGAAUCCAGGAGAGUCUGUGGUCUAGUUUCCACCCCAGGCGGUGAUCCCUCCUGUGGGCAGGUGGUGAGGGACAGAGCUUCCCUGGCAGGCCACAGAGAUCAGGCUGAACUCAAGCAGGCCUCAGAGAAGACCCACUCAGCUUGCAGAGCUCACCAGCCUGGGCACCAGAGACGAGGUCAAGCUUGCCCUCGGGGAGUGGUCCCUCAGCCUCCCCUGAAGACCCCAGGGCCCUCCAGCCACUCCCCCACCUCUGGCCAGCCUGCCCCACAGUGGCACUUCCUCCCAUCUACAGGCCAUGACUGGUGAGGAACGCUGCUGUGAGCCAGUCACCAGCAUGGCCUGGACCGCCAGCGUCUGCCACGUUGUCACAGGUAAGUGAGAGUUUCUGUCUGACCCUUUCUGGGGUCUUUUCCUAUUUACAGCCUCUGAAAGAAGAAUGACUCAUGAAAGGUCAAUAACUGGCACAGGUGACUGGCUGAUUUGGAAGUGUGUAGGGGAAGGUCACCUUUCCAGGGGUCCCAGCAUCACAUUUUGCAAGAUAAAAGCACAAGCAGGUGCCCCUUGCCCAGUCUGUGCUGCUGUGUGCAGUAAAGAUCUGGUAGCCUUAAGGACAAAGGCUGCCACCACUGUUCAGUGAUGUCCCUGUGGGCCAGGGAGGGGUGGCAGAGCUCAGAAUCAUAGUUGGUCAACACCGAGAUGAGCCGACCCUUCUGUUUGCACAGAAUCCCAGCAUGUGGGGCCACGCCAGCAGUCCACCUGGAGAACUCGCCUCCCCACGCAGUGUUCUCCAGGCCGGUCCCAGGCCCAGGCACGAGCAGCCUCGGCGUCAAGAGAAACUUCUAGCACAGACGCGGUGUGACCGGGGGCUCUGGGCUCUGGCUGGACUUUGUCAACAGCAGCACCAGCAGCAUUUUAGGGCCAGCAGUUCUUUGUCCCGUUCACUGGGACAGGGAUGGCGGCAUCUCUGGCCUAGGCCCAUCAAAUGCCAUCAAAGCCCCCCACAACCAGGACAAAGCAACACGCCUUCAGGCGUCACCCAGGACCCCUCUGGGGCACAAUCGCCCUGGUCAGGAGCCUCUGAUCUGUGAAUCAUCAUCCUCCUGGGGCUUUCCCCUUCCUGUAGGGUCUGGCUCCCACGGGUCCUCCAGUCCAGGUCCCUCGUCCCUUCAUGGCGUCCCUCUCCUCCAGCAGCCUCACCCUGGCCUGCCUGGGAGUGGCCUGGGGCCCCCUGCACUGGAUGGCUGGGUCCUGGUUAGAAGUGACGUGGCCCCCAGGGCACUUGGCCUCGUCCCAGCCUCCCCGUGCUCCCUGGGCACCCUGACCCUGCGUCUUUGCCUGACACCCCCAUUUGCUGGCCUCGCUCGUUCACAGCCAUGGCCGGCCACCCCUGGGCACAGCUCCUUUCCCCGGGAACAC